UCACAACAUUCUCCAAGGCCAAGUUCCUUAGCCAUUAAGAAAUAUACCUGACCACUACAAAAAAGAAAAGCAUAAUGUUCCAUCGCUGACUCAGCAGCAUCUCCAACUUUACUUCACAACCCAGGCAAAAAUAUCAUAUUUUGAUGUAUAUAUAUUCCCCACAAAGUCACAUGUACAUCGUUGGAUGCAAGAAAAAUGGGAGCUAUAAUAUCACUGUGGCGUAGAAUGGUACACUCUGAUGGGCAUGAAGCCGGAGGAGGAACCAUAGUCAAAGAUAACGUUGUCAUUGGGGAUCCCUCCAAAGUGGCGAUCGGAAAACGGAACCAGGGUGGUAGAAGAACCGGUGGCCGUGUCACCGGUAACGUUGUUGUCCGCUAACCUAUGUAUGUUUGUCAUCAUCAUGUUAAUGACUUAAGUAAGAGAUGUUGAAUGUUUGUCAGAUCUAAUGGUUUGUUGCUCUAAUAUAAAGUGAGGUACCACAAAAGUUUCCUGCUUU
Long non-coding RNA from Dioscorea cayenensis subsp. rotundata (Guinea yam), 496 nucleotides. RefSeq lists it as uncharacterized. NCBI's taxonomy places the organism in Eukaryota, Viridiplantae, Streptophyta, Magnoliopsida, Dioscoreales, Dioscoreaceae. The transcript is spliced from 2 exons. The record is from RefSeq and is a predicted model, not a curated record.